This 253-nucleotide ribosomal RNA is filed under the name uncultured bacterium. Its description in RNAcentral is "partial 16S ribosomal RNA". It matches the Rfam family "Bacterial small subunit ribosomal RNA", at positions 524 to 776 of the family's 1533-position model. The record is from RNAcentral.
UACGUAGGGGGCAAGCGUUGUUCGGAAUUACUGGGCGUAAAGGGCGCGUAGGCGGCACGGCAAGUCAGGAGUGAAAGGCCUGGGCUCAACCGAGGAACUGCUUUUGAGACUGCCGAGCUAGAGUGCAGAAGGGGCAACCGGAAUUCCCAGUGUAGCGGUGAAAUGCGUAGAUAUUGGGAAGAACACCUGAGGCGAAGGCGGGUUGCUGGGCUGACACUGACGCUGAGGCGCGAAAGCCAGGGGAGCAAACGGG